UGGGGCAUAUUGCACAAUGGGCGCAAGCCUGAUGCAGCCAUGCCGCGUGUGUUAAGAAGGCCUUCGGGUUGUAAAGCACUUUCAGCGGGGAGGAAGGCGAUAAGGUUAAUAACCUCAUCGAUUGACGUUACCCGCAGAAGAAGCACCGGCUAACUCCGUGCCAGCAGCCGCGGUAAUACGGAGGGUGCAAGCGUUAAUCGGAAUUACUGGGCGUAAAGCGCACGCAGGCGGUCUGUCAAGUCGGAUGUGAAAUCCCCGGGCUCAACCUGGGAACUGCAUUCGAAACUGGCAGGCUAGAGUCUUGUAGAGGGGGGUAGAAUUCCAGGUGUAGCGGUGAAAUGCGUAGAGAUCUGGAGGAAUACCGGUGGCGAAGGCGGCCCCCUGGACAAAGACUGACGCUCAGGUGCGAAAGCGUGGGGAGCAAACAGG
Molecule: ribosomal RNA, 429 nt
Filed under: Chloroflexota bacterium
Lineage: Bacteria; Bacillati; Chloroflexota
Description: Chloroflexi bacterium partial 16S ribosomal RNA
Rfam family: Bacterial small subunit ribosomal RNA
Source: RNAcentral